Molecule: transfer RNA, 59 nt
Filed under: Loxodonta africana (African savanna elephant)
Lineage: Eukaryota; Metazoa; Chordata; Mammalia; Proboscidea; Elephantidae
Rfam family: tRNA
About the family: Transfer RNA (tRNA) molecules are approximately 80 nucleotides in length. Their secondary structure includes four short double-helical elements and three loops (D, anti-codon, and T loops).
Source: Rfam by way of RNAcentral
AGUGGUUUAGCACUUGGCUGCUAACCAAAAGGUUAGCGGUUCAAACCCGCCAGCCGCUC